GACGAACAAAGAUUAAUUGCAAAUACAAGUACAAAUACACUGGGCAUAUCCAAAUGAGCGACAUGGAAAGAUGAAUAAAGACGAGAUCUAAAUACCCAAAGUAGAAAACUCAAAUUGAAUCAAAACAUAAGAAUACAAAAAAGAACAUAAUUUUGUAUAUGUGUGUUUUGAUCAUUCAAAUAGUACUCUCAACCUGGGGUUUAAAUCCUCAAAAAUCCUCCUGUUACGUGCCGUCCAUAAUUGGUAAACAAUGCUUGCAAGAGCUAUCCGCUUUGCUUUGCCAAGUAGUUCUUCAAGCCUUUUUUUUAAUCCACUUCAAUGCACUAGGUAGAGUAGACAUGGAGCGGCUAAUGCCCAACCGAUCACGGAUUUGUCCCCUACAGCAAAACUGAUUGGACAGGAGAAAAAAAUUGGUGCUCAAUCUCGUCUGCAGUUACAUGGAAAAUAUACCUUCGGUCAAUUUCCAAAUGCUUCAAUUUGUCCUUUGUUAGUAACUUCGAUUUAGCUCCUAAACAAAGGAUAAAAGCAUGUUUCAAGGUGAUGUAAACAUUCCAAAUAGUGCUAUCCAGUCUGAUUCAUCCCCUUUGGCCUAGGAAAAUCAUAAGUUACUGUCACACUGAAUGUGCCUGAGACUAUGCAUGUUGCCAAUCUGUCCAUUGCAGCGUGAGUUGCUUGAUCAGACCGUGCACUGCCCAUUGGUCAUAUAUAAUCUUUUCCCCAUCUUUUUUCAAUAAAGGCAAAACUAGCUUGGACUAGUCUGUUAGCCUUUUAUUAGUUGUGAUGGCUUUGGCAUAGGCAAUGUCUUGUCUUAUGUCGAUGCAUUAAAGUACAGAUAUUCAAGAGUUGUGCAUAUUUUAUAAGGCAACGAUUGAUAUGAUGCUGAUGCAUGUGGUGGGGAUUUCUUGACAACAUGUGCAAUAUUGUCGAUGGAAGUAUAGAAUUUCUUGACGAUGGACGAGGACGAAG
This 966-nucleotide long non-coding RNA is filed under the name Olea europaea subsp. europaea. Lineage: Eukaryota; Viridiplantae; Streptophyta; Magnoliopsida; Lamiales; Oleaceae. The record is from RNAcentral.